This 692-nucleotide ribosomal RNA is filed under the name Psychrobacter luti. RNAcentral's name for it is "bacterial SSU rRNA". It matches the Rfam family "Bacterial small subunit ribosomal RNA", at positions 110 to 800 of the family's 1533-position model. The record is from RNAcentral. Lineage: Bacteria; Pseudomonadati; Pseudomonadota; Gammaproteobacteria; Moraxellales; Moraxellaceae.
GUAAUACUUAGGAAUCUACCUAGUAGUGGGGGAUAGCACGGGGAAACUCGUAUUAAUACCGCAUACGACCUACGGGAGAAAGGGGGCAGUUUACUGCUCUCGCUAUUAGAUGAGCCUAAGUCGGAUUAGCUAGAUGGUGGGGUAAAGGCCUACCAUGGCGACGAUCUGUAGCUGGUCUGAGAGGAUGAUCAGCCACACCGGGACUGAGACACGGCCCGGACUCCUACGGGAGGCAGCAGUGGGGAAUAUUGGACAAUGGGGGAAACCCUGAUCCAGCCAUGCCGCGUGUGUGAAGAAGGCCUUUUGGUUGUAAAGCACUUUAAGCAGUGAAGAAGACUCUGUGGUUAAUACCCACAGACGAUGACAUUAGCUGCAGAAUAAGCACCGGCUAACUCUGUGCCAGCAGCCGCGGUAAUACAGAGGGUGCAAGCGUUAAUCGGAAUUACUGGGCGUAAAGGGAGCGUAGGUGGCUCGAUAAGUCAGAUGUGAAAUCCCCGGGCUCAACCUGGGAACUGCAUCUGAUACUGUCGUGCUAGAGUAUGUGAGAGGAAGGUAGAAUUCCAGGUGUAGCGGUGAAAUGCGUAGAGAUCUGGAGGAAUACCGAUGGCGAAGGCAGCCUUCUGGCAUAAUACUGACACUGAGGCUCGAAAGCGUGGGUAGCAAACAGGAUUAGAUACCCUGGUAGUCCACGC